Molecule: non-coding RNA, 23 nt
Filed under: Cricetulus griseus (Chinese hamster)
Lineage: Eukaryota; Metazoa; Chordata; Mammalia; Rodentia; Cricetidae
Source: RNAcentral
ACUGAUUUAAUGAGCCUGAUCCA